GAUGAAGAACGUAGCGAAAUGCGAUAAGUAAUGUGAAUUGCAGAAUUCAGUGAAUCAUCGAAUCUUUGAACGCACAUUGCGCCCCUUGGUAUUCCGAGGGGCAUGCCUGUUCGAGCGUCAUUUCAACCCUCAAGCACAGCUUGGUCUUGGGCUUCGCCGCUAACCCGGCGGGUCUUAAAAUCAGUGGCGGUGCCGUCGGGCCCUGAGCGCAGUAAUCUCUCUCGCUAUAGGGUCCCGGCGGAUGCUGGCCAGUGACCCCCAAUUUUCUAUGGUUGACCUCGGAUCAGGUAGGGAUACCCGCUGAACUUAAGCAUAUCAAUAAGCGGAGGA
RNAcentral lists this unclassified non-coding RNA (330 nucleotides) under soil metagenome. RNAcentral's name for it is "partial contains 5.8S ribosomal RNA, internal transcribed spacer 2, and large subunit ribosomal RNA". The stretch from base 1 to 120 matches the Rfam family "5.8S ribosomal RNA", at positions 35 to 154 of the family's 154-position model. The record is from RNAcentral.